Salvelinus namaycush (lake trout) is the source of this 903-nucleotide long non-coding RNA. RefSeq lists it as uncharacterized. Lineage: Eukaryota; Metazoa; Chordata; Actinopteri; Salmoniformes; Salmonidae. The record is from RefSeq and is a predicted model, not a curated record. The transcript is spliced from 4 exons.
CUGCGGAAUAAGGAUCAGAACUUUACAGAGGUAAACUGUGUCUGUUCUUUUUACUAUUACAGUUUUUCUUGCAGGUAACCUGCUGUUCCUGGCUGUGGUCAGCCAUUUUGGGGCGAAGCUGCACCGGCCCAGGCUCAUUGCUAUGGGCUGUCUCCUCAUGGCUGUAGGAUCCUUCCUCACAGGCCUGCCACACUUCUUCAUGGGACGGGCCCACUUAACUGCCAAGAGCUCCCGGUUGCCUACAUCGUAGUUGACACCCGCUGGCGAGAAAGGUGUAUUGGUUGAAGUUUCUUGUCCUCCUCGUUCUGCUGUGAACGUACCGCACCAGCUCCGGUGUCCGAGGCGUCCACCUUUACCACAAAGGGGUUUCACAUAAAGAAAGGUGUGGAACUCAGAGCACGCUGCGCCUUGGUCCGUCUCUACACACAGCCGUGACAGAAGAUUCCACCACGACAGGACCAAGCAGCGUGCCCGGGAGGAGAUGGCAUCCUGGUCUUUGGAGGCGAUCGAGGAGAGAAUAUCCUGGACUUGGGAGGAAGUCUUGGCAAGACACGAAAGGAAGCAGACCCAAGGAGAGAAGGGAGAACAGCAACGACGCCGGGGUUCGCGGCCACAAGGAAAGCCCAAAGAACAGGCCCAAUUUUUUGGGGGGGUGGCACACGGGGUGGUCGGCGGAGCCGAGGAAUGAGCCAGAGACCGUCAGAGAGUCAAAGGAGGAACUCGAAGAAAGAUUCUGGAGGGAGGUGGUGGCGAUGAGAGUGCUGCAGUGCGGGCGUGCUGAGGAGCGUGACACCAGUCUGGUGUCAUCUGCACCGGUUUCACGCAUCUGGCCUCCAGUGCGCCUCCCCAGUCCGGUACGUCCUGUGUCUCCUCCACGCACUCGCCCUGAAGUGUGUGUCACCG